GAGGGUUAAACGAAGGUCAGUUUGAACAUUUAAAAUGUCUGAAAAUAAAAUGCACCAAUCAAUUCUAUUCGGAUGUGUGUGUGUGUUAAACAUCAUUUUAGCAUCCCAUCUAAGCCUAUUUGCUCGGUUUUUCUGCUUUGUUUUUUCUUGCACCUCAGGGUGAUGGCUUCAAUAGCUCGUUUGCACCAAGUAGUAACAGGCCACAGCGGGCGAAUCAACCUUUUGUCUGCCUCAUCAGACUCUUUGCCCCAUUGUCCCCCCUCAGAUCCCAUCAGUAUGGGGAAGGAGGCCCGGCCAAUGCUGGUGAAAACAGAAUCAUUCCUGUAACAGAGAGGGCCGUUCCUGCACUCAGGGUGUCCCUGUGACUUCUGGCUUCUCUGGACCCACGGUAGCAUUUGCUGGCGAUAGAAAAGCGGUUCUUGUUGGGUUAUUCUCACUGGUGCCUGCAGAGUCAUGAAAGCAGGGAGGACAGCGCCGUCCACCUCCUGCACACAGAAGUCUCAGCUGGAAGUGGCGGUCCCCGAGAGCCUGCGCUCCGCAGCUUGUUUUAGCCUUCAGAAAAAACGCUUUCUUUCUGUAGCUUAACUGCUUGGCCCACAGGGCAGCCAGCUGUUGUAUGCUGCUUGAGCAGAGGUCGUGGAGGGGUGAGUGAGCACAGGGAAACCUUUUAAUACAUAUUUUAUAUACUUCAGAUCACUAAUGGGAGCUACACAAACAGAUCCAUUUGAAUAUCUACCCCCUGGGGCUAUAUUUCUGUUUCGAGUUUUCUGGUAACAGCAAGGAUCAAAAACUAAGAUGGUUCUUUUAAACACACCUGAUUGACCAGAAAUAUGCAUAAAUAAGUAUUCUGCACUACUGUUGUAUAUUUUAUUAUUCUUAUUAUGUUUCCUUUUUGAAUUCUUUUUUAAGCUUUAUUGAGGUAUAAUUGACAAAUAAAAAUGUAUUUAACGUGUGCAACGUGAUAUUUUGAUAUAUGUAUACAUUGUAAAAUAAUCACCACAAUCAAGCUAAUUAGCAUUAAAUUGAUUUUACAUACUUUUGAUUCCAUAUAUUUUAAAUUAGACAAAAAAUUAGCCUUGGUUUUGAUAAAAGAAAAACUUCAGCUGGAUUAACUUUAAAGGCGUCUAAUUGAGUGAUGAACAAUUUGUGAAUCGGGCGGCCUUCUCAGCCAUGGUAAGCUCAGAGACCCCAGCGCAGCCAUGCGGGGGAAGAUUUAUGGAAAAAGGAACAUGAGGAACAGAAAACAGAAGUGAGGUACAGAAACAGCUGGAUGGGUGGCAGCUCGGCGUUUGCCUUCUGCGAACACGGUUUCAACGGCUGGCUACAUUUGAUUGGCCGAAACUCGGUGACUGGCACAGGUGUCGGCUACGGUCGGUUACGCCUCCACCUGUUAUCGUUCACGAGGUGCAGAAAAGCCUUUAGGCCGAACUUAAAUGUGUAAGGAGGCAGCUCAGGGCUAACCUUGAUUUAACAGUUUCACACAUGUCAACAAAAGUGUAAACAACAUGAUUUAAGCAAUAGAGAUGAGAGGUCAUCUCAGAAGAGAAAUGGCAUUUAUAAGAACCACUUGGCAUUAACUAUAUUUUUGUAGAAGAUGGCUUUUCUUAUGGUAUUAUUUUAAAAGUGUUCAAAUGAUAUCAAAGCUGCCAUUGUUAAAAGUAAAAAAAUCCUAAUGUGGAUACUUACAAAUGUCUAAUAUCCUAAUACUUCAAUAAUGUCCCAGUACUUUACUGUGUACCCCAAAUGUUAUGUGUCGUUUUAUAAAAUGAUUAUAUAAUCUUGCUGGGGUGUUCUUGUCACUCACCAUUACGGAAGAGAAAGCCGACUCGGAGAGGAGUGGCCAUUUGUCCUUCUUCACAGCAUUAAUAAAUAGUAGACCCAGGACCGAGAGGGCUGUUUUUAUAUCCCUGCAAUGUUUCGUAUGUUUGAAAUGUGUUGAUUGAAAAUGUUCUUCCUCUUUGAUGAAGAAGAGCCACAGUGACCGCCAAAGAAACCGAUUUAGAACAGUUUCUUCUAAAGCUUUCCGCUUGGACUUGACCGUGGGUGUGUCUGAAUGUUUCUGAGCCAGCUCCACACCAAGCCUGAAUGAGCCCAAGCAGGUCACGAAAUUGAAAGGACUAUAAAGCACCGUAUCAGAAAAGGAGGAGAAACCCAAGGCGUAUCCGUUAGUGGCUGCAUAUGCCAAUACGCACCAGUCCACGCUUUUCUGAGCCUGCCAGCAUCCGCAGCCUCUCCUGCUCGCAGAGGUUGUCAGACACCCCGGGCUUGGCUCAGUCCUGCUGCCCAGUUGGAAUCAAAUCUCAAGAGAGAGACAAACACUGUAAGGAGUAUGACCUUCUCCAGCAAGACAGCAAAGGUGCAAAGGAGAGAAGGAUGCUACAUAGCCCGUGUGUUUUAAAGAAAUGCAAAUAUUAAACGAGAAAAAAGGAGUAUUAGUUUUUUUAAAAAAUGGGAGUGUACAGAUAUGCAACAACAUGAGAAAACAACACAACACAAAACAACUUUGCUGGUUCUUCAAUUAAAAUGUACACAAUGGCUCUAAUGCAAAUGAUUGCCAUAUUGAAUUGGUCACGGAGUUGAAAUUAAAACUCAUGACUAGUGAUUUAUACAUUUUGCUUAAAUCACCAAAUACAAGCAACUCUUUGAAUUGAACUGUUUUAUCCCUUCUACUAUAAAUUCCUAAAUUAUACAAAUUCCUUCAUUUCCUUCUUCCUUCCCUUCCUUUCUCUUUUCCUUCCUCCCUUCUUUCCCCCCUCCCUCCCUCUCUCUCUCUCUUUCUUUCUUUCCUUCCUUCCUUCCUUCUUUCUUUUGUCUCUCUCUCUCUCCUUCUCCCUCUUUCCACUUAGCCAUGCUAUAAAUAGUAAGAGGUAAAAGAAAUAAAAACAGAAAUAAUUACAGGCCCAAAUGUAUUAUUAUCUUCAAAGGAAAUUACAAAGAGAAGAAACAAGAGGGAUUUCCCUCCAUCGUGUUUCUAUACACGCACGAUAUUCUAACUAAAGCAUGUUACAAGUGAUCUAUGUUAUUUUUACAAACCAAGUGAGUGGUUUAAAGAAAAUGGAAAGAUGUGUCCUCUAAGAAAACCACAGUUACGUGAGUGGUAAAUGGAAACAACGAGACUCUUACCUUCUAAGCUAUGGGGUCUGUUAGCUCUGCAUCCUGUAUCUCAGUGACUCAGGGCAGGUCACUAAGCCUCCUUGAGAACCUUGUUUUCAGUAUUCAUGGAAAAGGAGGGAAGUGACCCAGGCAAGGGUGUCGACUGUGAGGCAUAUUGCUUAUGUGCAGUUCUAUUAUUCUUGGUGUUAGAAAUCUGAACUCUCAUGUUUCAGUAACCGGAAAAUCUUCAGAAAAGACAUCCCCGGCGCCAUGGUUGUCAACAUGCUCAAACACCUCGUUAUAGCAUUCUUGCCCCUUACUGGUGCAACUUCUUGCUACUUUCCUGUAGUUCAGUGACAGAAGUUGGGGGUUAUUCUUGGUACCUUCUUGCAGAAUCUGCGACAUGGAUAAAAUUCUAUCUCUGCAUCUUACAGGUAUUAAAAUCCAGUUCCCUGCGUGCAUGCUCCAGUUUAAGUGGAUGGCUGAUUCUAUCCCGUCAUCCUGAACUUUGUAGCUUCCUUUAAGAGAUGAUAAAUUAGGGAACAAAAGGAUCUUCCUUUCCGUGACAGCAGCACUUUCGGGAGGCUGAGCAUGUACCUCUGACUCAAGGCUGAGUUAUUAUAAGAAAAACAGAAAAGGAAGGAAGAAGGUUUUAAUUUCCCACUGUUGAAGACAGUUUGUCAGGAUGAGAGACAGACAGACAGAGCGUGCACAGACCUGCACUUCUCUUCGGGGAUGAAUAGGGCAAGUGUUUCAUUCAUGACGUCUUCAAAGCGUUGCCCGGAAUGCAAAAUGACAUGGUUUUUCUGGAAUACUAGUCUGUUUGAAAGGCCAAGGAAAGGUGAUACAUUUUGAAUGCACAUUUGGGUGACUUCAGGGUCUCCUUCUAUAACCAGAAUGGAGAUGUCCCUGAAAGGCUGUCAACAGAGAAAAAAAGAAUUCUGGUUAAAAUUCCAUUAUUCCAGUUUUUUUUUUGUUGUUGUUGUUUUUUUUUUUUGCCUGCGUUGUGUAAUUGAAGAUGUCUUCCAAGCAGAAACAGACCCUUGUUUCAUGUGGAAAAAAAAAUACAUAGACUAAUAGACUACAGAGAAAUAGAGGUAAAAAGAAGAUUGCUGCCACUUCCCAGUUAAGGAAUGCGUUGCUUUCACCCACCGUGGUCCCUGCUGCCUGUGACUCCAACACAAGAAUCAAUCCAUCUGUCUUUCUGCCACCACAGACAUCUCCCUAAAUUGAUCUAAUCUUGUGUCUAUUCUUAAAAUUCUUCGGAUUGCUUCUUGUUAAUAGAUAAUUGAAGUUCAGUAGUACAGUCUUUCCAUCUCCCUUUCCUUCCUGAUUGUCAAAUCACUUUGACCCAAUAAAUCUCACUUAAUUUUUUAAUUGUA
This 4475-nucleotide long non-coding RNA is filed under the name Homo sapiens (human). Its description in RNAcentral is "HSALNT0324347". Lineage: Eukaryota; Metazoa; Chordata; Mammalia; Primates; Hominidae. The record is from RNAcentral.